GCGCCAGUGGUUGCGUGUCUGGAAAAGAUUCAGCUCCCGCCUGGUGCUGUAGUUUGCAACCAGCAUUUUACCCGCGAUUCUGCACGUCUCCGUUCCAAGAGGGAGGCUGUGCCCACCGUGGCUCUUCCGCGAUUUAGAUGCAGCCCACCGACUCUGCUCCCCCACCAUGACGGGCUACAGUCUGAGGCUAAAUCUACCCAAGACACUGGCUGUCAGACUGAUUUAGUAAUCUGCAAGAAUGCACUUGUCCAGGCUGACGUGGUGUUACCCGUAGCAAAGGUGAAUUAUUUUUAAUAAUCUUCUAUGUAAACAUUUUAUUACCUUCUAGUUUUAAUUUGUUUUACAGAUUGUUACAAGUGAUUUUAUGCUCUUUUAAACAUUUAUAAAUGUGCUGCUUCUUUGUUUUUAUAGAGCUCACAGCCUCAGUGUCUUGUGACACAGGGACCAUGACAGAAAUUCAUCUUCCAGAAGGUCCCAGAGCAUCCACACCUCCUGAAAAGACCACGGUGUGAGGUGUCUGCUGUUGAUUCCAGCUUCCACCUCAGUGACAGUGCAAGCUCAGUGAACUGUUCAAGGUAAAAAAAAAUUAAAACAUUUCUGAAUUUUUAAGAUAUUAACAAUUAAAUAAGUAUGUGAUUACAUCAUGAAGGAGGCUACUGAUUCUGGCCCUGUGACACUUGGUGGUCACCACCAGGUGGUGACGUGUGAGCUGAUUCACCUGGUAAAUAACUUUUAAAUUAAAUAUUUUGUUUUUGCUAUCAAAAGUAAAUUAACUAAUAACCUGCAUUACUGCAGGACACUCAGCAAAAUAUGGACUCUACACCAUGAGGCAGGCACACGUUAAUAACUCUAUAAGAGCACAUAAGGUAAGCAACACCACAUAUUAUUUUUAUUACUGUACACUGUCCUGGAUUUGUUUUCUUUCUGCAUGAUUUGUUUUCUUUCUGCAUCUCAUCAUUAGCCUGGCUGAUCACCUGAUAACUCCUGUCAUCUGGUUAUGACAGCAUGAGGAUGUCCUCACACACCUGUAACCUAUCAGCUCAUCUGGCAGAAUAGAGAGAGAAGAGACAACACCACAUCUCCUGUUCCUGGAAAGCCUUCAGCCAUCCUUCGAUGACUGAGAACCUCCAUCAGCUCUGUCUCCUGUCUGCCUACAAUUAUUAUAAUAAAUAUUGUGUUUGACAAGUUUUUUGUGCUGCCAAAUAUCUCAUUUUGAUUCCAGUUUUGAUAUUUUAAUGGAUAUUUAUAAAUUACAUUAAUUGAAUUAUCACAUUGUCGCAUGUUUAACUAGCUCUAUUGUGAUGAACUAAACUAGCACCUCACUGUUAAAAGCUCGUUUUAAUUUCAAGCAUGUUUAAGUAUUUAUGGACAUGAACAAAAACAGGAAAUAUAUAAAUUGAGAUUUAUUUAAUUAAUAUAACAAAUAAGGGGGAAAGAGUCAUUGAAAGGCACAUUCUUCUGGAAGUUCCUGAUCCCGACGACAUCAGCAGGAGACCAGCUGCAGACACCAGAGGAUCACCUGCAACCAAGAGCAGCUAGUAUCAGUAAAUAAAUAAUGAAAUCAGGGCAGUUUUAAUGGGCUGAACACAUUACAGAAUAAUUUUCUCAUGGUAUAUUUUCAUAACUUUAUGCAGCAGACUAGCUUGAGCCCAGAUCUCCUGGAGAGCUGCUAUCCAGCACGUUUCAGUGGAUUUUCCUGCUUUAACAGGUUAGAUAAGCUGUUAAGCAGCUCAGCUGUUUGUUGCUGAUUAAAACCAGGUGUGUUGAUGCAGAUAAAUCUCUAAAACAUGCUGAAUACUAGCUUUUUAGGGCCAUGGAGACAAACCCUGCAGCUAAUCCAAUGCUAUGGCUAACGGCUACUUACGUUCAGAGAUGGGUCUGUUGGGUCGGUUCCAGUAAUUUCAGGCAACUCACAAGCUCAAAACAAUAAGGCUCAUGUCCGCUUGUCUCCUCCAAAUAGACUUGGUCCCUUUCUUCUCGAGUGUCUGGGUAAGGAGGGGGAGAAACGUCCUCCACUUCUAAUGACUGCUCAGAGUGAAGGGAGCUAGCUUCGUCUAGUUAGCCGUCUCUUCGUCACUGCCACGGCUCCGCCCUCUCGGUCCUCCAGGCAACGCCUACUAAUGUUGCAGUUUUCAAAAUUGAUACGUGGGUGGGGUAAGACUCUGAGGCACACUUGACAUGCACUUUAAAUAGAAAAAAUGAACCAGGAAAGCAGCAAUUGUUUUUUCAGUUUU
This is a long non-coding RNA of Nothobranchius furzeri (turquoise killifish), 2234 nucleotides long. The record is from Ensembl. NCBI's taxonomy places the organism in Eukaryota, Metazoa, Chordata, Actinopteri, Cyprinodontiformes, Nothobranchiidae.